AGGGGUUUGGAUCCAUGGGCUCAGGACGAACGCUGGCGGCGUGCUUAACACAUGCAAGUCGAACGGAAAGGUCCCGCUUUUGUGGGGUGCUCGAGUGGCGAACGGGUGAGUAACACGUGAGUAACCUGCCCUUGACUUUGGGAUAACUUCAGGAAACUGGGGCUAAUACCGGAUAGGAGCUCCUGCUGCAUGGUGGGGGUUGGAAAGUUUCGGCGGUUGGGGAUGGACUCGCGGCUUAUCAGCUUGUUGGUGGGGUAGUGGCUUACCAAGGCUUUUGACGGGUAGCCGGCCUGAGAGGGUGACCGGCCACAUUGGGACUGAGAUACGGCCCAGGCUCCUACGGGAGGCAGCAGUGGGGAAUAUUGCACAAUGGGCGGAAGCCUGAUGCANCAACGCCGCGUGCGGGAUGACGGCCUUCGGGUUGUAAACCGCUUUCGCCUGUGACGAAGCGUGAGUGACGUGUUAAUGGGUAAAGAAGCACCGGCUAACUACGUGCCAGCAGCCGCGGUGAU
RNAcentral lists this ribosomal RNA (512 nucleotides) under uncultured bacterium. Its description in RNAcentral is "bacterial SSU rRNA". It matches the Rfam family "Bacterial small subunit ribosomal RNA", at positions 1 to 524 of the family's 1533-position model. The record is from RNAcentral.